AUUGAACGCUGGCGGCAGGCCUAACACAUGCAAGUCGAGCGGAUGAAGGGAGCUUGCUCCUGGAUUUAGCGGCGGACGGGUGAGUAAUGCCUAGGAAUCUGCCUGGUAGUGGGGGAUAACGUCCGGAAACGGGCGCUAAUACUGCAUACGUCCUGAGGCAGAUAGUGGGGGAUCUUCGGACCUCACCCUAUCAGAUGAGCCUAGGUCGGAUUAGCUAGUUGGUGGGGUAAAGGCCUACCUAGGCGACGAUCCGUAACUGGUCUGAGAGGAAGAUUCGUCACACUGGAACGGAGACACGGUCCAGACUCCUACGGGAGGGAGCAGUGGGGAAUAUUGGACAAUGGGCGAAAACCUGAUCCAGCCAUGGCGCGUGUGUGAAGAAGGUCUUCCGAUUGUAAAGCACUUUAAGUUGGGAGGAAGCGCAGUAAGUUAAUACCUUGCUGUUUUGACGUUACCAACAGAAUAAGCACCGGCUAACUUCGUG
Molecule: ribosomal RNA, 484 nt
Filed under: uncultured bacterium
Lineage: Bacteria
Description: partial 16S ribosomal RNA
Rfam family: Bacterial small subunit ribosomal RNA
Source: RNAcentral